Molecule: ribosomal RNA, 448 nt
Filed under: uncultured bacterium
Lineage: Bacteria
Description: bacterial SSU rRNA
Rfam family: Bacterial small subunit ribosomal RNA
Source: RNAcentral
CUCCAGACUCCUACGGGAGGCAGCAGUGGGGAAUAUUGCACAAUGGGGGGAACCCUGAUGCAGCGACGCCGCGUGAAGGAUGAAGUAUUUCGGUACGUAAACUUCUAUCAGCAGGGAAGAAAAUGACGGUACCUGACUAAGAAGCCCCGGCUAACUACGUGCCAGCAGCCGCGGUAAUACGUAGGGGGCAAGCGUUAUCCGGAUUUACUGGGCGUAAAGGGAGCGUAGGCGGCCUGCCAAGUCUGAUGUGAAAUACCGGGGCUCAACCCCGGGGCUGCAUUGGAAACUGGCAGGCUGGAGUGCCGGAGAGGCAGGCGGAAUUCCUAGUGUAGCGGUGAAAUGCGUAGAUAUUAGGAGGAACACCAGUGGCGAAGGCGGCCUGCUGGACGGUGACUGACGCUGAGGCUCGAAAGCGUGGGGAGCAAACAGGAUUAGAUACCCUGGUAUA